UACGAAGGGGGCUAGCGUUGCUCGGAAUUACUGGGCGUAAAGGGCGCGUAGGCGGACAGUUUAGUCAGAGGUGAAAGCCCAGGGCUCAACCUUGGAAUUGCCUUUGAUACUGGCUGUCUUGAGUUCGGGAGAGGUGAGUGGAAUGCCGAGUGUAGAGGUGAAAUUCGUAGAUAUUCGGCGGAACACCAGUGGCGAAGGCGACUCACUGGCCCGAUACUGACGCUGAGGAGCGAAAGCGUGGGGAGCGAACAGG
This 253-nucleotide ribosomal RNA is filed under the name uncultured bacterium. Its description in RNAcentral is "partial 16S ribosomal RNA". It matches the Rfam family "Bacterial small subunit ribosomal RNA", at positions 524 to 776 of the family's 1533-position model. The record is from RNAcentral.